This 1080-nucleotide long non-coding RNA is filed under the name Setaria italica (foxtail millet). Its description in RNAcentral is "long non-coding RNA (SITA_LNC001011)". The record is from RNAcentral. Lineage: Eukaryota; Viridiplantae; Streptophyta; Magnoliopsida; Poales; Poaceae.
ACAUCAGUAUCUCUCAUUUCGGGCAAACCGGUAAAAAAGAUAUUAUCUUUCAUUUUGGGGGCAACGACUUUUGUCCAAAUUUUCGGGUCCGCCUACCACCUGGUAACUGUUCCGUUCUCACUUUCUUCGCUGCGAGCGUUGGCACGCAACGACAUUCUAGAUGCGGAGGUAGAUUCUUUGGAUACCGGUGUCAGGGAGCGUGAGCUGACAGAAAGUGUAAGCCUGCACGUGCGCAGGUUAACCGCUCGACCACACAAGCCAGGAUCACAUGUACAGUGCCAAGUCCAAAACAACCCUGCCACCAAACCCUGCGAGAGGAUUUCUCCAACAAUAAAAACCACAACAAGGUUGGUGGCACUGGCAACAAAUCUUUGCAAUCUCCACGGCAAACAACCUUGUCCGGAUCGAAAGAACGAAAAAAAAAUUGUCAACAAAUAUUAUUUAUCACACAUCGAAGAGUUCAUCAGGUUUUACGGAUCAGUUCAUCACGCUGCUGCGCUUUCUAACAUCAUCAGCAGCAGCAGACAGCAGAGCAGCGUAUGUACAGCAUCAUCAUCAGUUCAUGAAUCAGAGAAGUUACAGAGAGAUUCUUCACAUUAGUAUCAUCGAGAAUCAUCAAGGAUUUCAGAUUGGUACCCAAUGGAACGGUGGGGGGGGGGGGGGGGGGGGGGGGGGGGGGGUUGUACAUCAUCACGGCCGGGAAACCCCUGACGGUAUCCAAGGGAUUAAGACGUACCAAAUUCCCCUAUCACCUGGCGGCGGCGGGCGAGGGGGCAGGGGCGCAGCGGGCGGAGGGGGACGAGGGGGGCGAGGGGGCAGGGAAGCCGCGGGCGGAGGCGGAAGAAGCGCAGUAGCGGGCGGACGGAGCGGGUCGCUGUCGGCGGAGGUCGGCGGGUUGGUGGAGGCGGCGCCGGGCCCGCGGAUGCGGAGGCGCGCGGCGUCGUACGCGGCCGCAGCCUCCUCGGCGGUGUCGAAGGUGCCGAGCCAGACGCGGCGGCCGCGCUGUGGAUCGCGAAUCUCCGCCGCGAAUUUGCCCCACGGCCGCCGCCGCACGCCCCUGAACCGCACCCCCUCCACCGC